This 323-nucleotide long non-coding RNA is filed under the name Elaeis guineensis (African oil palm). Its description in RNAcentral is "long non-coding RNA (EGUI_LNC056929)". Lineage: Eukaryota; Viridiplantae; Streptophyta; Magnoliopsida; Arecales; Arecaceae. The record is from RNAcentral.
CUCGGGACAUUUGUUUUAUAGUGUAUGGUAGAGGGAACCUUGGGUCUUCCAUUAGUAUGUUUCUUCGCCAUCCUCAUUAUAAUUAUGAUGGUUGGGGAGUUCCAUGCACAGUGCCACAAUGGUUUGGAAAAGGAGAUCUGGGAUUAGCUCCAAAUUUGUCAGAGUCUACCAUGUGUUGAGCGUCGAUAGGCCUUGUAUCGUGUCUCACAAAUCGAUCUAGGUAGUUUGUUUUGAAGGCUGUGUGACAAUGAGUUGUGCGAUUCAAGGGCCUUAAUGCGUGUGGUUUUUAAUGCUCGCAGCUUCCAAAAAUGAUAUUUUGCCAU